CUGGCUCAGAACGAACGCUGGUAGCGUGGAUAGGCAUGCAAGUCGAACGGGAUCCGGAAGGUAGCAAUAUCGGCCGGUGAGAGUGGCGGACUGGGGAGGAGCACGUGAGCAACUGCCCGAGGGACGGGGAAAACCGUUGGAAACGACGGCUAAUACCGGAUGCGGCGCGCGGGGGACAUCCCCCUGCGCCAAAGGGGGCCGCAAGGCUCCCGCCCGCGGAGAGGCUCGCGCACCAUCAGCUAGUUGGCGGGGUGACGGCCCACCAAGGCGUACGGUUAGCUGGUCUGAGAGGAUGGCCAGCCCCACUGGGACUGAGACACUGCCCAGACUCCUACGGGAGGCUGCAGUCGAGGAUCAUUUGCAAUGGGCGAAAGCCUGACAAUGCGACGCUGCGUGGAGGAUGAAGGCCUUCGGGUUGUAAACUCCUGUCAUGGGGGAACAGGCGAGGGGAGUUAAUACCUCCCUUAGUUGAGUGUACCCCAAGAGGAAUUGGCGGCUAACUCUGUGCCAGCCGCGGC
RNAcentral lists this ribosomal RNA (518 nucleotides) under uncultured bacterium. Its description in RNAcentral is "bacterial SSU rRNA". It matches the Rfam family "Bacterial small subunit ribosomal RNA", at positions 19 to 518 of the family's 1533-position model. The record is from RNAcentral.